UACCUUUAGUUGCCAUCAGGUAAUGCGUGGGGACUCUAAAGGAACUGCCUACGCAAGUAGUGAGGAAGGCGGGGAUGACGUCAAAUCAGCACGGCCCUUACGUCCAGGGCUACACACGUGCUACAAUGGCCGAUACAGAGGGCAGCUACCUGGUGACAGGAUGCAAAUCUCCAAAGUCGGUCUCAGUUCGGAUCGGAGUCUGCAACCCGACUCCGUGAAGUUGGAUUCGCUAGUAAUCGCGCAUCAGCCAUGGCGCGGUGAAUACGUUCCCGGGCCUU
RNAcentral lists this ribosomal RNA (278 nucleotides) under uncultured Sphingobacteriales bacterium. Its description in RNAcentral is "partial 16S ribosomal RNA". It matches the Rfam family "Bacterial small subunit ribosomal RNA", at positions 1106 to 1382 of the family's 1533-position model. Lineage: Bacteria; Pseudomonadati; Bacteroidota; Sphingobacteriia; Sphingobacteriales. The record is from RNAcentral.